GCGAACGCUGGCGGCAGGCCUAACACAUGCAAGUCGAACGGACCCUUCGGGGUUAGUGGCGGACGGGUGAGUAACACGUGGGAACGUGCCUUUAGGUUCGGAAUAGCUUCUGGAAACGGGUGGUAAUGCCGAAUGUGCCCUUCGGGGGAAAGAUUUAUCGCCUUUAGAGCGGCCCGCGUCUGAUUAGCUUGUUGGUGAGGUAAUGGCUCACCAAGGCUACGAUCAGUAGCUGGUCUGAGAGGAUGAUCAGCAUCACUGGGACUGAGACACGGCCCAGACUCCUACGGGAGGCAGCAGUGGGGAAUAUUGGACAAUGGGCGCAAGCCUGAUCCAGCCAUGCCGCGUGGAUGAUGAAGGCCUUAGGGUUGUAAAGUCCUUUUAACGGGGAAGAUAAUGACGGUACCCGUAGAAUAAGCCCCGGCUAACUUCGU
Molecule: ribosomal RNA, 431 nt
Filed under: uncultured bacterium
Lineage: Bacteria
Description: bacterial SSU rRNA
Rfam family: Bacterial small subunit ribosomal RNA
Source: RNAcentral